Brassica oleracea var. oleracea is the source of this 870-nucleotide long non-coding RNA. RefSeq lists it as uncharacterized. The record is from RefSeq and is a predicted model, not a curated record. NCBI's taxonomy places the organism in Eukaryota, Viridiplantae, Streptophyta, Magnoliopsida, Brassicales, Brassicaceae. The transcript has 4 exons.
CCAACUGUUGCUAGUGGAACGAAAAUAAAGAAUGAAAGAUUAACCCACUCUCCUCACGAGAUCAGCGUUGGGAAGUUGAAACGUGAAACGCCGUGGGGAGCUAAAAGGUGUGGUAGAUAUGCUCCUCUUAGACGCUAAGGCCUUCGUCCCUCCAAAGUCAUCUUCCCAGUUUGUGAUAAUCUACAGAAACUUAUUAGCAGUAUAACGGCUAAGUCAUCUGUUCUUCUUACUGAUUUGAAGGCUGGUCGCUGUUCUUCGACCGUCUACGGCUAGAAACUUCAAACGCGGUGGCGAGUUGAUGAGAGUGAACUUGCUCCUCCUUGAUACGAAGUCGACCCUCAUGCAAGCCACCGUGAAUUUUCACCGUCUCGCAACUUGCAGGGACAGUAAAUGUCAUUAUCUUUCAUUACUCCUCUUCACAUUCGACCCUCAUACAUGGAUCUAUCACCGUUCAAAGAAGGAUUUAUUUACGAGCUUGGUGUGUUAGAUGUAGCAAGAUCAACCAUCACUUCAAAAUUUCAGGCUCAGUCAUCGCCAUACCUUCACCGCGCUUUAUCAAGUUCAUCAAGAUGGCAGGUGUUAGUUUUCAGCACGUUUAUCAUUUUUCUAAUCUAAUUUUCAUCCCACAAUAAUCUACCAAUGGUACACCCUUUUAAUUAAAGGUGAUUUAAUCUGGGGAUGGUCAACCACAAAGUCUGCCAUAUUUGGUUCGUAGUUGAGAUGUGGAAACGAUAGUGAAGACACGAUCUAGACAUAUUUAAAUAGCUUAUCUUGGUUGUCAAUAUUUUGUUUUCUAAGAGAAAAGACCUCAGCUGGAUAUCCUGCAUUAGUGUAUCACCCUGUAACAUCACAACUAUAAUAUAAAUAAGA